This 470-nucleotide ribosomal RNA is filed under the name uncultured bacterium. RNAcentral describes it as "bacterial SSU rRNA". It matches the Rfam family "Bacterial small subunit ribosomal RNA", at positions 34 to 518 of the family's 1533-position model. The record is from RNAcentral.
CGCUGGCGGCAUGCCUAACACAUGCAAGUCGAACGGAGUAAUGACUUCGGUUAUUACUUAGUGGCGAACGGGUGAGUAACACGUGAAUAAUCUGCCCUGUACGAUGGGAUAACAGCUGGAAACGGCUGCUAAUACCGUAUAUGACCACGCCGAGGCAUCUCGGAGGGGUGAAAGCGCUUAAGCGGUACAGGAUGAGUUCGCGUCCAAUUAGCUAGUUGGUGAGGUAACGGCCCACCAAGGCGACGAUUGGUAGCCGACCUGAGAGGGUGAUCGGCCACACUGGAACUGAGACACGGUCCAGACUCCUACGGGAGGCAGCAGUGGGGAAUAUUGGGCAAUGGAGGAAACUCUUACCCAGCCAAUGCCGCGUGAGUGAUGAAGGUCUUCGGAUUGUAAAGCUCUUUGAUUGGGGACGAAUAAAUGACGGUACCCAAGGAACAAGCCCCGGCUAACUAUGUGCCAGCCGCUGC